AAUUUAAACUUUUAAUAAACUUUAAAUUGCAAAUUUAAAUUAGAAUUUUAAAAAUU
This 56-nucleotide transfer RNA is filed under the name Hypoaspis linteyini. Its description in RNAcentral is "tRNA-Cys". Lineage: Eukaryota; Metazoa; Arthropoda; Arachnida; Mesostigmata; Laelapidae. The record is from RNAcentral.